AACGCACAUUGCACUCUCUGGUAUUCCGGAGAGUAUGCUUGUUUGAGUAUCAGUAAACACCUCAAAUCUCUACUUUAUUGUAAAGAAUUGGACUUGAGCAAUCCCAACUGUCGCAAGAGAGGAGGGUUGCUUGAAAUGCAGGUGCAGCUAGACAUUCUUCUGAGCUAAAAGCAUAUUUAUUUAGUCCCGUCAAACGGAUUAUUACUUUUGCUCUAGCUAAUAUAAAGGUUGAUUGCGCUACAUGCUGACUGAUGCAGGAUUCACAAGAACCGCAAGGUUUUUGUAAACUCGAUCUCAAAUCAAGUAAGACUACCCGCUGAACUUAA
Molecule: unclassified non-coding RNA, 326 nt
Filed under: uncultured fungus
Lineage: Eukaryota; Fungi
Description: sequence contains ITS2
Source: RNAcentral